UGAAAAAUUUAAGAAGAUUACGAAUUCGGGAGAUGUUUCUGUUUUAAGAUGAAUGAAAGUGAUGCAAAAAAUGAUACGGACAGUGAUUCUUCCAUGUCACUUUGUUCUAAAUUAGAAAAAUUAGUUGAUAGAAUUCGGUUCUAUGAGUCUAAACAUGCUAACUUAAGAGAUGGCAAUGUGGAUGCAAAAAGCCUUUUCGAAGAUGGGGACCCUAAAGAGGAUGCCAAGCAGGAAAUGUCAGAUGAAGUAAUUGGGGCGAAGCUCAAAGCCUUGUAUGCACAAAAGAAAGCUAUUUGUGUGGAUCCAGUGGCUGCUCAGUCCCAAGAAAGGAGAUCUUCCGAAGAAGUCAAAGCACUUAAGUACAAAUUACGCAAAGCAAUCUUAAGGGAAGCCGAAAUAGUGAUGACUACUCUCAGUGGCUAUGGUGGUGAUCUUAUGGAGUUUGCUUAAAACCUAUUUCUGGUUACAGAUUUGGAAACCCAUCUGAAGAUUCUCUGUUUCAUGCUGUUGUUAUUGAUGAAGCAGCUCAAGCUCUUGAACCGGCGACUCUGAUUCCUCUACAGCUUCUAAAAUCAAAUGGAACCAAAUGUAUUAUGGUUGGUGAUCCAAAGUAGCUUCCUGCAACGAUUCUUUCUAAUGUUGC
Magnolia sinica is the source of this 643-nucleotide long non-coding RNA. RefSeq lists it as uncharacterized. Lineage: Eukaryota; Viridiplantae; Streptophyta; Magnoliopsida; Magnoliales; Magnoliaceae. The record is from RefSeq and is a predicted model, not a curated record. The transcript is spliced from 3 exons.